This is a long non-coding RNA of Hyla sarda, 356 nucleotides long. RefSeq lists it as uncharacterized. NCBI's taxonomy places the organism in Eukaryota, Metazoa, Chordata, Amphibia, Anura, Hylidae. The record is from RefSeq and is a predicted model, not a curated record. The transcript is spliced from 3 exons.
GAACAGACUGGAAUCUAAACUACUGCCAGCCUAUAACACAUGUACCAAGCAGGCUCAAGUCGAUUCUAGGGACACUAUCCGUGCAACAACACAGACAGGCGUCGGUGGUGUAUAGACUUCUUGAACCAUUACCGGCGGCGGCGUGCGUGGGCUGGACUCUGGACAGGUGAGGAUGAGGAUCUACUAACAAAGUAACCAAUGAUGUGAGGGUGUCAGACUCUGCGGAGAAGAUGGAGCUGAAAGAAAACAAGAACCAGAUGAAGAAAAGUAAAGACAACAAAGAAGACGUCUCCUGUGAGUCAUUAUACAAUUGUGUAUAUGACAAUUUAGUUUCCUGACUGUCCCAUCAGAGCUGG